This 69-nucleotide transfer RNA is filed under the name Otolemur garnettii (small-eared galago). It matches the Rfam family "tRNA". From Rfam's summary of the family: Transfer RNA (tRNA) molecules are approximately 80 nucleotides in length. Their secondary structure includes four short double-helical elements and three loops (D, anti-codon, and T loops). The record is from Rfam by way of RNAcentral. Lineage: Eukaryota; Metazoa; Chordata; Mammalia; Primates; Galagidae.
AUAGAUAUAGUUUAACAAAAACAUUAGAUUGUGAAUCUAAUAAUAGAAGACCCUAUCUUCUUAUUUACC